RNAcentral lists this long non-coding RNA (219 nucleotides) under Elaeis guineensis (African oil palm). Its description in RNAcentral is "long non-coding RNA (EGUI_LNC082198)". Lineage: Eukaryota; Viridiplantae; Streptophyta; Magnoliopsida; Arecales; Arecaceae. The record is from RNAcentral.
GGAGCCCACAGGUGAAACCAUAGCGUGAAGAAAGCCCAGGAAGAGAAACCCCAUUGAGAAAGGCUCGCAGGAGGCUUGGUGUGCGGCAGGCUAUGGCGCAGCAUGCGGGCUCGGCCCAGGCAUGCGUAGGGCGUGUGGCCCAGGCCAGUGUUGGAGCUUUAUGGUUUCAUGCAUGCAUGUUUUACAAAAGGAGUAUGCAGUAGAAUUUUAAAAUUUUUC